Molecule: ribosomal RNA, 481 nt
Filed under: uncultured bacterium
Lineage: Bacteria
Description: partial 16S ribosomal RNA
Rfam family: Bacterial small subunit ribosomal RNA
Source: RNAcentral
GAACGCUGGCGGCAGGCCUAACACAUGCAAGUCGAGCGGAUGAAGGGAGCUUGCUCCUGGAUUCCGCGGCGGCCGGGUGAGUAAUGCCUAGGAAUCUGCCUGGUAGUGGGGGAUAACGUCCGGAAACGGGCGCUAAUACCGCAUACGUCCUGAGGGAGAAAGUGGGGGAUCUUCGGACCUCACGCUAUCAGAUGAGCCUAGGUCGGAUUAGCUAGUUGGUGGGGUAAAGGCCUACCAAGGCGACGAUCCGUAACUGGUCUGAGAGGAUGAUCAGUCACACUGGAACUGAGACACGGUCCAGACUCCUACGGGAGGCAGCAGUGGGGAAUAUUGGACAAUGGGCGAAAGCCUGAUCCAGCCAUGCCGCGUGUGUGAAGAAGGUCUUCGGAUUGUAAAGCACUUUAAGUUGGGAGGAAGGGCAGUAAGUUAAUACCUUGCUGUUUUGACGUUACCAACAGAAUAAGCACCGGCUAACUUCGUG